RNAcentral lists this ribosomal RNA (433 nucleotides) under uncultured bacterium. RNAcentral describes it as "partial 16S ribosomal RNA". It matches the Rfam family "Bacterial small subunit ribosomal RNA", at positions 29 to 507 of the family's 1533-position model. The record is from RNAcentral.
AACGAACGCUGGCGGCAUGCCUAACACAUGCAAGUCGAACGAGACCUUCGGGUCUAGUGGCGCACGGGUGCGUAACGCGUGGGAACCUGCCCUUAGGUUCGGAAUAACUCCCCGAAAGGGGUGCUAAUACCGGAUAAUGUCUUCGGACCAAAGAUUUAUCGCCUUUGGAUGGGCCCGCGUUGGAUUAGCUAGUUGGUAGGGUAAAAGCCUACCAGGGCGACGAUCCAUAGCUGGUCUGAGAGGAUGAUCAGCCACACUGGGACUGAGACACGGCCCAGACUCCUACGGGAGGCAGCAGUGGGGAAUAUUGGACAAUGGGCGAAAGCCUGAUCCAGCAAUGCCGCGUGAGUGAUGAAGGCCUUAGGGUUGUAAAGCUCUUUUACCCGGGAUGAUAAUGACAGUACCGGGAGAAUAAGCUCCGGCUAACUACGUG